AACGAACGCUGGCGGCAUGCCUAACACAUGCAAGUCGAACGAGACCUUCGGGUCUAGUGGCGCACGGGUGCGUAACGCGUGGGAACCUGCCCUUAGGUUCGGAAUAACUCCCCGAAAGGGGUGCUAAUACCGGAUAAUGUCUUCGGACCAAAGAUUUAUCGCCGUUGGAUGGGCCCGCGUUGGAUUAGCUAGUUGGUAGGGUAAAAGCCUACCAAGGCGACGAUCCAUAGCUGGUCUGAGAGGAAGAGCAGCCACACUGGGACUGAGACACGGCCCAGACUCCUACGGGAGGCAGCAGUGGGGAAUAUUGGACAAUGGGCGAAAGCCUGAGCCAGCAAUGCCGCGUGAGUGAUGAAGGCCUUAGGGUUGUAAAGCUCUUUUACCCGGGAUGAUAAUGACAGUACCGGGAGAAUAAGCUCCGGCUAACUCCGUG
Molecule: ribosomal RNA, 433 nt
Filed under: uncultured bacterium
Lineage: Bacteria
Description: partial 16S ribosomal RNA
Rfam family: Bacterial small subunit ribosomal RNA
Source: RNAcentral